RNAcentral lists this unclassified non-coding RNA (580 nucleotides) under Hevea brasiliensis (rubber tree). Lineage: Eukaryota; Viridiplantae; Streptophyta; Magnoliopsida; Malpighiales; Euphorbiaceae. The record is from RNAcentral.
AAAUGGCCAGGUAAUUUUCUUUAUGUUGCAACAACCUUCCUGCUGCAUAUUAUGAUUGUCUUUAACAUUGCUAUUUCUGAUGCUGACACGCGUUUCUUUUCGAUUGAAUUGUAAUAACUUGGAACUUUUAUUAAGUCUGAAUUCCACUAGGUGGUGGGAGUUUUUUUCCCAAGGGAGAGAGAUACCCCCAUUCUUUGUCAUCCAACUGAACAAAAAAAGUGCAAUGGAUGUGCAUCACAUUAAUGAUUGAUUGUCACAGGAUAAUUAUCAUUACUUAGAAAUUUAUUGCCUGUGUUGCAUGAAUAAAUGAAUGAUGUAAAUUUUUCUUCUUCUUCUGUACAUGUUUUCUGUCCUCCAAAAUCUCUCCAUUUCAAAUUCCGAGAACCUUCAUAAACAUCGCAAGCCAUUUAAAUUCGUACUGCUGCCUUUUGUGUAGAUUGUCCAUGUUUUUCUUCUGGUUCUGGAACUAAAUACAUAUUUUUAAUAUCUAUUUGGUGUAGCAUUUGCAAAUAUUUUGCAUAGUUGUAUGUUAAUGGAAGAUGUGAUGUAUUUCUAUCAGGGAUAGAGCAAAAAUGUUGCG